CUAUCACUGACGCUUAGGCUCGAAAGUGUGGGGAGCAAAUAGGAUUAGAUACCCUAGUAGUCCACACCGUAAACGAUCAUCAUUAAAUGUCGGCUCGAACGAGUCGGUGUUGUAGCUAACGCAUUAAAUGAUGUGCCUGGGUAGUACAUUCGCAAGAAUGAAACUCAAACGGAAUUGACGGGGACCCGCACAAGUGGUGGAGCAUGUUGCUUAAUUUGACAAUACACGUAGAACCUUACCUAGGUUUGACAUCUAUUGCGACGCUAUAGAAAUAUAGUUGAGGUUAACAAUAUGACAGGUGGUGCAUGGUUGUCGUCAGCUCGUGUCGUGAGAUGUUGGGUUAAGUCCCGCAACGAGCGCAACCCCUUUCGUUAGUUGCUUUUCUAGCGAUACUGCUACCGCAAGGUAGAGGAAGGUGGGGAUGACGUCAAAUCAUCAUGCCCCUUAUAUCUAGGGCUGCAAACGUGCUACAAUGGCUAAUACAAACUGCUGCAAAAUCGUAAGAUGAAGCGAAACAGAAAAAGUUAGUCUCAGUUCGGAUAGAGGGCUGCAAUUCGCCCUC
RNAcentral lists this ribosomal RNA (562 nucleotides) under Ureaplasma urealyticum. RNAcentral describes it as "bacterial SSU rRNA". It matches the Rfam family "Bacterial small subunit ribosomal RNA", at positions 734 to 1319 of the family's 1533-position model. The record is from RNAcentral. Lineage: Bacteria; Bacillati; Mycoplasmatota; Mycoplasmoidales; Mycoplasmoidaceae.